RNAcentral lists this ribosomal RNA (305 nucleotides) under uncultured bacterium. Its description in RNAcentral is "bacterial SSU rRNA". It matches the Rfam family "Bacterial small subunit ribosomal RNA", at positions 338 to 660 of the family's 1533-position model. The record is from RNAcentral.
CCUACGGGGGGCAGCAGUGGGGAAUAUUGCACAAUGGGGGGAACCCUGAUGCAGCGACGCCGCGUGAGUGAAGAAGUAUUUCGGUAUGUAAAGCUCUAUCAGCAGGGAAGAAAAUGACGGUACCUGACUAAGAAGCCCCGGCUAACUACGUGCCAGCAGCCGCGGUAAUACGUAGGGGGCAAGCGUUAUCCGGAUUUACUGGGUGUAAAGGGAGCGUAGACGGUUAUGCAAGUCUGAAGUGAAAGCCCAAGGCUCAACCAUGGGACUGCUUUGGAAACUGUAAAACUGGAGUGCAGGAGAGGUAA